GGGUGUUCCCCUUCCUCCAUCAUCGCUCCAUGUGUGACCCUCCCAAAGACAUGCCCUCAGUCGAGGAGGAUCGCCUUCCCUAAGUAGAGGUGACUGGUCUUUGGGUGAGGGUAUAUGAGUAGCUGUGCUCCCCUGAUUGAACCUCCAGACAAGCUCUGAAUCUGUUCAGGUAUUUCCUCUAUCCUAUCAUAUUUUCAUAACCAAAAAAAUUCUCCUCCUGGAAGCUAAGCACAAAAGAAGAUUCUCCAACCUAGUCCAACUUGUACCCCCCAAGUUAAAAUU
This 282-nucleotide small RNA is filed under the name Erinaceus europaeus (western European hedgehog). RNAcentral's name for it is "7SK RNA (ENSEEUG00000022890.1)". The stretch from base 1 to 211 matches the Rfam family "7SK RNA", at positions 80 to 331 of the family's 331-position model. From Rfam's summary of the family: 7SK was discovered as an abundant small nuclear RNA in the mid-70s but a possible function has only recently been suggested. Two independent studies have found that 7SK RNA binds the CDK9/cyclin T complex (known as elongation factor P-TEFb). The record is from RNAcentral. Lineage: Eukaryota; Metazoa; Chordata; Mammalia; Eulipotyphla; Erinaceidae.